This 490-nucleotide ribosomal RNA is filed under the name uncultured bacterium. Its description in RNAcentral is "partial 16S ribosomal RNA". It matches the Rfam family "Bacterial small subunit ribosomal RNA", at positions 30 to 507 of the family's 1533-position model. The record is from RNAcentral.
AUUGAACGCUGGCGGCAGGCCUAACACAUGCAAGUCGAACGGUAACAGGAAUCAGCUUGCUGAUUUGCUGACGAGUGGCGGACGGGUGAGUAAUGUCUGGGAAACUGCCUGAUGGAGGGGGAUAACUACUGGAAACGGUAGCUAAUACCGCAUAACGUCGCAAGACCAAGGAGGGGGACCUUCGGGCCUCUUGCCAUCGGAUUUGCCCAGAUGGGAUUAGCUAGUAGGUGGGGUAAAGGCUCACCUAGGCGACGAUCCCUAGCUGGUCUGAGAGGAUGACCAGCCACACUGGAACUGAGACACGGUCCAGACUCCUACGGGAGGCAGCAGUGGGGAAUAUUGCACAAUGGGCGCAAGCCUGAUGCAGCCAUGCCGCGUGUAUGAAGAAGGCCUUCGGGUUGUAAAGUACUUUCAGCGGGGAGGAAGGGAGUAAAGUUAAUACCUUUGCUCAUUGACGUUACCCGCAGAAGAAGCACCGGCUAACUCCGUG